Molecule: long non-coding RNA, 261 nt
Organism: Cydia splendana
Lineage: Eukaryota; Metazoa; Arthropoda; Insecta; Lepidoptera; Tortricidae
Exons: 3
Source: RefSeq, a predicted model, not a curated record
UUUUUCUAUCCCUAAUAUCUUAAGUAACAUGUAUUAAUAUAAUAUGAAAUAUUUUUAGCUGGCUUUAGUAACGUCCUCGGAAGUGGUCAAACAAGCGAAAUUGAAAGGCCCAUUGAGUAAUAUAAAACCGUCAUCGGGUGGAUACACAAAAAAGAAGUUGUGCGUGUUCUCUGACAAUAAGGGGUACUGCGUUUCACAGCAGAAGGGACUCUAAAUAAAAAAGGGAGUGAGUAGUGAGUGUGUUAAGUGAGUGUGUUAAAG